This 230-nucleotide long non-coding RNA is filed under the name Elaeis guineensis (African oil palm). RNAcentral describes it as "long non-coding RNA (EGUI_LNC044746)". Lineage: Eukaryota; Viridiplantae; Streptophyta; Magnoliopsida; Arecales; Arecaceae. The record is from RNAcentral.
CAUCCCUCUUUCUUUUAAAGAUCUACUUACACCCUGUGUUUUACCCAUUUAGAUGGGUCAACUAAUGUCCACACAUCAUUGACCUUCAUAGACUCCAUUUCAAACUUCAUGGCUUCAAGCCACUUAUCGAAGUCAGAUCUCUGUAUUGCAUCCAUAUAGGUGAUUGGAACCACAUUAUUCUUAUCGAGUUUAAUAGGAUCAUGAUCCUGGACCAAGAAACCAUAGUAUCU